CCUACGGGUGGCUGCAGUGGGGAAUAUUGGACAAUGGGCGAAAGCCUGAUCCAGCCAUGCCGCGUGUGUGAAGAAGGCCUUCGGGUUGUAAAGCACUUUCAGUGGGGAAGAAAGCCUUGGGGCUAAUACCCUCGAGGAAGGACAUCACCCACGGAAGAAGCACCGGCUAACUCCGUGCCAGCAGCCGCGGUAAUACGGAGGGUGCGAGCGUUAAUCGGAAUUACUGGGCGUAAAGCGCGCGUAGGCGGUCUGAUAAGCCGGUUGUGAAAGCCCCGGGCUCAACCUGGGAACGGCAUCCGGAACUGUCAGGCUAGAGUGCAGGAGAGGAAGGUAGAAUUCCCGGUGUAGCGGUGAAAUGCGUAGAGAUCGGGAGGAAUACCAGUGGCGAAGGCGGCCUUCUGGACUGACACUGACGCUGAGGUGCGAAAGCGUGGGUAGCAAACAGGAUUAGAUACCCUGUAGUC
This 464-nucleotide ribosomal RNA is filed under the name Vreelandella stevensii. RNAcentral's name for it is "partial 16S ribosomal RNA". It matches the Rfam family "Bacterial small subunit ribosomal RNA", at positions 338 to 795 of the family's 1533-position model. The record is from RNAcentral. Lineage: Bacteria; Pseudomonadati; Pseudomonadota; Gammaproteobacteria; Oceanospirillales; Halomonadaceae.